Molecule: ribosomal RNA, 440 nt
Filed under: uncultured bacterium
Lineage: Bacteria
Description: partial 16S ribosomal RNA
Rfam family: Bacterial small subunit ribosomal RNA
Source: RNAcentral
CCUACGUGAGGCUGCAGUGGGGGAUAUUGCACAAUGGGGGAAACCCUGAUGCAGCGACGCCGCGUGUGGGAAGGCGGUCCUCUGGAUUGUAAACCACUGUCCCCAGGGACGAAGAUGAUGGAACCUGGGGAGGAAGCUCCGGCUAACUACGUGCCAGCAGCCGCGGUAAUACGUAGGGAGCGAGCGUUGUCCGGAAUUACUGGGUGUAAAGGGAGCGGAGGCGGGACUGCAAGUUGGGGGUCAAAUCUACCGGCUCAACCGGUAGCCGCACUCAAAACUGCAGGUCUUGAGUGAAGUAGAGGCAGGCGGAAUUCCUGGUGUAGCGGUGAAAUGCGUAGAUAUUAGGAGGAACACCGGUGGCGAAGGCAGCCUGCUGGGCUUUUACUGACGCUGAGGCUCGAAAGUGUGGGGAGCAAACAGGAUUAGAUACCCGAGUAGUC